GCAGUAGCCGCGGGAAUACAGAGGGUGCGAGCGUUAAUCGGAUUUACUGGGCGUAAAGCGUGCGUAGGCGGCUUCUUAAGUCGGAUGUGAAAUCCCUGAGCUUAACUUAGGAAUUGCAUUCGAUACUGGGAAGCUAGAGUAUGGGAGAGGAUGGUAGAAUUCCAGGUGUAGCGGUGAAAUGCGUAGAGAUCUGGAGGAAUACCGAUGGCGAAGGCAGCCAUCUGGCCCAAUACUGACGCUGAGGUACGAAAGCAUGGGGAGCAAACAGGAUUAGAUACCCGAGUAGUCCCUGUCUCUUAUAC
RNAcentral lists this ribosomal RNA (302 nucleotides) under uncultured bacterium. Its description in RNAcentral is "partial 16S ribosomal RNA". It matches the Rfam family "Bacterial small subunit ribosomal RNA", at positions 508 to 807 of the family's 1533-position model. The record is from RNAcentral.